This is a long non-coding RNA of Diceros bicornis minor, 403 nucleotides long. RefSeq lists it as uncharacterized. The transcript is spliced from 3 exons. The record is from RefSeq and is a predicted model, not a curated record. Lineage: Eukaryota; Metazoa; Chordata; Mammalia; Perissodactyla; Rhinocerotidae.
GAAACUUAGGUACACUGCUUCUCUGACUGACUCCAAAUACUACAGCACCACACCCUUCUAGACUGGUGGAUGCACAGCUCCACUUCUUUGCAGGGAGGACACACAAUAGCAGAAUAUCCGUGGCCCAACUUUCUGGAGCAUCAGUAUUACUACAAGAUUUGGAAGAAGCAAAGUUAGGUCAUUUCCAAGUCCCACAGGUCUUGAGUGAUUGCUGUGAACACUGCACUGUGCUAGAUGUCAAGGCCUUGGUGAGCAUCAUUGUGAGGGUGGAUGUUGAUGGAAAAAGAUUGCAUCAUAAAAACUCAAAGCCAUGCCACUUGCCAAAUUGAGGCAAAAAUGGAAAGACCUAGGGCGCCAAGGAAGGGUGAGGGCAUUAAUAGAUACUUGGGAGUAUUAAAAUCCU